Molecule: ribosomal RNA, 554 nt
Filed under: uncultured bacterium
Lineage: Bacteria
Description: partial 16S ribosomal RNA
Rfam family: Bacterial small subunit ribosomal RNA
Source: RNAcentral
UAGGGAAUCUUCCACAAUGGACGCAAGUCUGAUGGAGCAACGCCGCGUGAGUGAAGAAGGUUUUCGGACCGUAAAGCUCUGUUGUUGGUGAAGAAGGAUAGAGGUAGUAACUGGCCUUUAUUUGACGGUAAUCAACCAGAAAGUCACGGCUAACUACGUGCCAGCAGCCGCGGUAAUACGUAGGUGGCAAGCGUUGUCCGGAUUUAUUGGGCGUAAAGCGAGCGCAGGCGGAAGAAUAAGUCUGAUGUGAAAGCCCUCGGCUUAACCGAGGAAUUGCACCGGAAACUGUUUUCUUGAGUGCAGAAGAGGAGAGUAGAACUCCAUGUGUAGCGGUGGAAUGCGUAGAUAUAUGGAAGAAUACCAGUGGCGAAGGCGGCUCUCUGGUCUGCAACUGACGCUGAGGCUCGAAAGCAUGGGUAGCGAACAGGAUUAGAUACCCUGGUAGUCCAUGCCGUAAACGAUGAGUGCUAAGUGUUGGGAGGCUUCCGCCUCUCAGUGCUGCAGCUAACGCAUUAAGCACUCCGCCUGGGGGAGUACGACCGCAAGGUUGAAAC